Molecule: ribosomal RNA, 484 nt
Filed under: uncultured bacterium
Lineage: Bacteria
Description: partial 16S ribosomal RNA
Rfam family: Bacterial small subunit ribosomal RNA
Source: RNAcentral
AUUGAACGCUGGCGGCAGGCCUAACACAUGCAAGUCGAGCGGAUGAAGGGAGCUUGCUCCUGGAUUCAGCGGCGGACGGGUGAGUAAUGCCUAGGAAUCUGCCUGGUAGUGGGGGAUAACGUCCGGAAACGGGCGCUAAUACCGCAUACGUCCUGAGGGAGAAAGUGGGGGAUCUUCGGACCUCACGCUAUCAGAUGAGCCUAGGCCGCAUUAGCUAGUUGGUGGGGUAAAGGCCUACCAAGGCGACGAUCCGUAACUGGUCUGAGAGGAUGAUCAGUCACACUGGAACUGAGACACGGUCCAGACUCCUACGGGAGGCAGCAGUGGGGAAUAUUGGACAAUGGGCGAAAGCCUGAUCCAGCCAUGCCGCGUGUGUGAAGAAGGUCUUCGGAUUGUAAAGCACUUUAAGUUGGGAGGAAGGGCAGUAAGUUAAUACCUUGCUGUUUUGACGUUACCAACAGAAUAAGCACCGGCUAACUUCGUG